AGUGAACGCUGGCGGUAGGCCUAACACAUGCAAGUCGAACGGCAGCACAGUAAGAGCUUGCUCUUACGGGUGGCGAGUGGCGGACGGGUGAGGAAUACAUCGGAAUCUACUUUUUCGUGGGGGAUAACGUAGGGAAACUUACGCUAAUACCGCAUACGACCUACGGGUGAAAGCAGGGGAUCUUCGGACCUUGCGCGAUUGAAUGAGCCGAUGUCGGAUUAGCUAGUUGGCGGGGUAAAGGCCCACCAAGGCGACGAUCCGUAGCUGGUCUGCGAGGAUGAUCAGCCACACUGGAACUGAGACACGGUCCAGACUCCUACGAGAGGCAGCAGUGGGGAAUAUUAGACAAUGGGCGCAAGCCUGAUCCAGCCAUACCGCGUGGGUGAAGAAGGCCCUCGGGUUGUAAAGCCCUUUUGUUGGGAAAGAAAAGCAGCAGGUUAAUACCCCGCUGUUCUGACGGUACCCAAAGAAUAAGCACCGGCUAACUUCGUG
Molecule: ribosomal RNA, 492 nt
Filed under: uncultured bacterium
Lineage: Bacteria
Description: partial 16S ribosomal RNA
Rfam family: Bacterial small subunit ribosomal RNA
Source: RNAcentral